GGCACACAGGGGCUGUUCUCCUUGAUCUCUGCACCUCAGUGAGCACAUCUGCCACCUUCCUGCAGACCCAGGCUCCCUUCACUGGCUAUGGACCUGCAGCAGCAAAAACUUGGUGUCAAGAGCUUGAUCUGCCCAUUCCCACGUGGCUGCCAUGGAGGAGGAGCAGCUGUGCCAAGCAGAGGAGAUAAACACUUGAAAUGUGGGAUGAAGGAGGCUUCAAACAUCUCUGCUGCCUGCAAAAUAGGUUUUUCCCCACCCUUGAAUAAGAAUUUCAGCAGCUCAGAUGAUAUGGGGAAAGCCAUUUGACCACCUCCAGUCCUUGCACUAGGAAAGGGGAAUUAAAAUCCCCUGGUGACCUGUGCACCCAGAAAAGGAGGAGCUCUUGGGGAAGGUGACUGCAAAGCCUCCACACACUUCCCACUCCUUGGCUUUCAGUGUCUCAUUGCAACUGGAAAGGUUGGAAUUAAAGUUGCAUGUGCAUAAUGUCACACAGUCCUCAUGUGGGAAUAGGGAUGUGCAUCCACCCCAGGCCUCCAGCACGUGGAUUUAAUGGGAAACACUCUCACACCAAACCCAAGUGCUCCUCCCUGGACUCAUGGUGAUGCUCAGCCCCUGGCACAGCCCUGCUCAGCCAGGAUGGCACCAGGACCUAUUCCUCACCCCAGCAGGAGCUGCAGCACUGCCACCCAGCAGGCUUACUAGAUUAAUUAGAGGUGUUGGGAUUUAUGCUUUUGCUUGGGGCAAAACCCUCUCUCCAAAGCAGCCCUGCCUGAAUUAAGCUGGGGGGCACCCAGAGCCCUCCAUGGAUCCUCACAGACAACUUCAGUGGGGCUGGGAUCCUGUGUGCUCCCUCUGACAUGCCCACUUACUCCCAGGGAAAUAAAAUAAAGAGCCAAACAGCAAAAAAAAAAAUGCACCUCAAAACUGACCAGUGCCUCUGAAGUGACAGCACGUGGGAGCAGGAGGAGCAAACAAAUCCCUGGGAGGGAAAAGCUCUGGCACCACCAGAGCUGGGGAGCAGGGGGUGGCCAGAGGUCCUGCAAAGGUGAUGGAGUGGGUAAUGUAAUGUGGUGACAGAGAAGGAGGCAGCUCUGGAAGUCACAGGAUUGCCCACGGUGCCAGCGUGGGGCUCCCCAGCAGCGUGUGCCCUGCCUGGGGGCAGAUGGGCAGGGAGAGGUUUGUGUUACGGGAGGUGACUCUUGUUGGACACGUCUGCUGGCAGGUCAAUUAAUUCUGCACCUUUUCUCCCCUGAUCAACCUGUCAGUUCCAAUAUUAUCAUUAAUUAGAGCACAUGUCCAGAGUCAGCUAAUGCAGCGUGAGCUGGGAGCUGUGAGCUGUGCCAUCUUGAGCUGAUCCAGC
Molecule: long non-coding RNA, 1360 nt
Organism: Passer domesticus (house sparrow)
Lineage: Eukaryota; Metazoa; Chordata; Aves; Passeriformes; Passeridae
Exons: 3
Source: RefSeq, a predicted model, not a curated record